This is a transfer RNA of Camelus ferus (Wild Bactrian camel), 72 nucleotides long. It matches the Rfam family "tRNA". Rfam says of the family: Transfer RNA (tRNA) molecules are approximately 80 nucleotides in length. Their secondary structure includes four short double-helical elements and three loops (D, anti-codon, and T loops). NCBI's taxonomy places the organism in Eukaryota, Metazoa, Chordata, Mammalia, Artiodactyla, Camelidae. The record is from Rfam.
GAGGGUAUAGCUCAGGGGUAGAGUGCAUGUCUAGCAUGCGUGAGGUCCUGGGUUCAAUCCCCAGUACCUCCG